AGCGUCAACACGAAUACAGAUUUGUGCCCCAAAAGUCGAUGAGGAAGAAUUGUUCAUGGGCAUCUUCCUGCGACUCGAUGUUGAUGCGAGUGGUGGCGCUGCUCCUGGUACUGCAUUUCUUUCAGGAAGCAGUAUGUUCUCUGGGACCGUUCGAGCCCACUUCUCUGCCUCUCGCCCGCCUGUCUACACAGUUUGGAAGAUGCUCUGUUGAGGAGGUUGAUAGCAUUGAGACGAUAUGUGGAUCCUGAGACAGGGAUUUAUCGGAUUGCAGUGCUCAACACCAAGACAGUGAGUGUUUAGGGAGUUUGUUGUCCACCCUUUCCAGUACAAUUCUGGCUCCGGAAGCUGGGGGAAUCCAUGACUUGUCCAAUCCUGACUGAGGGAGAGGAUCGCUUCUAUGACCUGCUACAAUGGAGUCUGGCAAGCGGUGAGCCAGGAUCCAUUCGGCUACUGGCAGAUAUUGUGUGAGGAUUUUGCUGGUACAAGCGUGCUAGCUAGAGAAGGAUGAGGAUGGCUCACACUCAGCCAUGGUCGCAUCUGGGAAAUAUUACUGGCCACUUCGUGAUAUCAACAUGGGAGGUGAAGAAUGGAUGGGGAUGAUGUGAUUGUUGUUGCCAACUGUAUGGGAUAAUUUUGUGUUCUUAUCUGUAUUGUGGUCAUUUGGAAAAAGAGUUUGCAUAUUUUUUUACCCGUGACCUAUACAUUUGCACCAAUCUCAAAAUUGGAGAAUUAGAUUUACAAACUUUAUAUUUAUGCUAUAAGUGUACAAUUAUAAUAUUGUAUAUUAAUAUUAGUGUAAUGGGAUUUUAAUAAUUGAGAUUGUCAAAAUCUUGUGCAUGCAUUUUCAGCCACUUUUGAUUAUGCCUUUU
RNAcentral lists this long non-coding RNA (869 nucleotides) under Selaginella moellendorffii. RNAcentral's name for it is "long non-coding RNA (SMOE_LNC001303)". Lineage: Eukaryota; Viridiplantae; Streptophyta; Lycopodiopsida; Selaginellales; Selaginellaceae. The record is from RNAcentral.